GGUUUCCCUAAUAGUUCCUGGUGAAUCAAAGCAGGACCAUAAAGGUUGCUGGAGUGCAUCGUGGCCUUACCCCUGAGAAGUCAUCCUGUUAAAGGAGGAACCAGUUAGAAGCUGUUUUCAAAGUAGCUGAGCAGAUUUCACCUCAAUAGAUCAAAGCAGCUCGUGCUCUGUCUGCUUCCAUUCUGAUGGCAAGAAGAAGAAGAAGAAGAAGAAUGCUUCAGCGAAGUGGCGUUCAUGGUCUCAGUGGACAGUCAUGGUCACACACUGCAUGUGGUUUUAAAAGCAACAUUGUUCACCACAACAAUGGAGAUGUGUAAUAUUAGUGCAGCUACGGUUUGUUCUUGAACAUCAGUUCUGUUUUCUACUUUGACCACUUAGACCAAAAAAAGUGUUGUUUUCAGAUUCUUUCUUAUAAAUCUGUAAAUCACCUGUUCAUUUUU
Molecule: long non-coding RNA, 440 nt
Organism: Oreochromis aureus
Lineage: Eukaryota; Metazoa; Chordata; Actinopteri; Cichliformes; Cichlidae
Source: Ensembl